Molecule: ribosomal RNA, 1723 nt
Filed under: Streptococcus agalactiae SGBS014
Lineage: Bacteria; Bacillati; Bacillota; Bacilli; Lactobacillales; Streptococcaceae
Description: bacterial LSU rRNA
Rfam family: Bacterial large subunit ribosomal RNA
Source: RNAcentral
AAUGAUAGAUUAACCUUAGCAGUAUCCUGAGUACGGCGAGACACGCGAAAUCUCGUCGGAAUCUGGGAGGACCAUCUCCCAACCCUAAAUACUCUCUAGUGACCGAUAGUGAACCAGUACCGUGAGGGAAAGGUGAAAAGCACCCCGGGAGGGGAGUGAAAUAGAACCUGAAACCGUGUGCCUACAACAAGUUCGAGCCCGUUAAUGGGUGAGAGCGUGCCUUUUGUAGAAUGAACCGGCGAGUUACGAUAUGAUGCGAGGUUAAGUUGAAGAGACGGAGCCGUAGGGAAACCGAGUCUUAAUAGGGCGUCAUAGUAUCAUGUUGUAGACCCGAAACCAUGUGACCUACCCAUGAGCAGGUUGAAGGUGAGGUAAAACUCACUGGAGGACCGAACCAGGGCACGUUGAAAAGUGCUUGGAUGACUUGUGGGUAGCGGAGAAAUUCCAAACGAACUUGGAGAUAGCUGGUUCUCUCCGAAAUAGCUUUAGGGCUAGCGUCGAUGUUAAGUCUCUUGGAGGUAGAGCACUGUUUGGGUGAGGGGUCCAUCCCGGAUUACCAAUCUCAGAUAAACUCCGAAUGCCAACGAGAUAUAAUCGGCAGUCAGACUGCGAGUGCUAAGAUCCGUAGUCGAAAGGGAAACAGCCCAGACCACCAGCUAAGGUCCCAAAAUAUAUGUUAAGUGGAAAAGGAUGUGGGGUUGCACAGACAACUAGGAUGUUAGCUUAGAAGCAGCUAUUCAUUCAAAGAGUGCGUAAUAGCUCACUAGUCGAGUGACCCUGCGCCGAAAAUGUACCGGGGCUAAAACAUAUUACCGAAGCUGUGGAUGACACAAAAGUGUCAUGGUAGGAGAGCGUUCUAUGUGUGAAGAAGGUGUACCGUGAGGAGCGCUGGAACGCAUAGAAGUGAGAAUGCCGGUAUGAGUAGCGCAAGACAGGUGAGAAUCCUGUCCACCGUAAGACUAAGGUUUCCAGGGGAAGGCUCGUCCGCCCUGGGUUAGUCGGGACCUAAGGAGAGACCGAAAGGUGUAUCCGAUGGACAACAGGUUGAUAUUCCUGUACUAGAGUAUAUAGUGAUGGAGGGACGCAGUAGGCUAACUAAACCAGACGAUUGGAAGUGUCUGGUCAAACAGUGAGGUGUGAUAUGAGUCAAAUGCUUAUAUCUUUAACAUUGAGCUGUGACGAGGAGCGAAGUUUAGUAGCGAAGUUAGUGAUGUCACACUGCCAAGAAAAGCUUCUAGCGAUACAUAUACUCUACCCGUACCGCAAACCGACACAGGUAGUCGAGGCGAGUAGCCUCAGGUGAGCGAGAGAACUCUCGUUAAGGAACUCGGCAAAAUGGCCCCGUAACUUCGGGAGAAGGGGCGCUGAUUUUAGAUCAGCCGCAGUGAAUAGGCCCAAGCAACUGUUUAUCAAAAACACAGCUCUCUGCUAAAUCGUAAGAUGAUGUAUAGGGGGUGACGCCUGCCCGGUGCUGGAAGGUUAAGAGGAGUGCUUAGCGUAAGCGAAGGUAUGAAUUGAAGCCCCAGUAAACGGCGGCCGUAACUAUAACGGUCCUAAGGUAGCGAAAUUCCUUGUCGGGUAAGUUCCGACCCGCACGAAAGGCGUAAUGAUUUGGGCACUGUCUCAACGAGAGACUCGGUGAAAUUUUAGUACCUGUGAAGAUGCAGGUUACCCGCGACAGGACGGAAAGACCCCAUGGAGCUUUACUGCAGUUUGAUAUUGA